This 253-nucleotide ribosomal RNA is filed under the name uncultured bacterium. Its description in RNAcentral is "partial 16S ribosomal RNA". It matches the Rfam family "Bacterial small subunit ribosomal RNA", at positions 524 to 776 of the family's 1533-position model. The record is from RNAcentral.
GACAGAGGGGGCAAGCGUUGCUCGGAAUCACUGGGCGUAAAGGGCGCGUAGGCGGGAUGGCAAGUCGGUCGUGAAAUCUCUCGGCUCAACCGAGAAACGUCGGCCGAUACUGCCGUUCUUGAGGGAUGCAGAGGAGACUGGAAUUCCCGGUGUAGCGGUGAAAUGCGUAGAUAUCGGGAGGAACAUCUGUGGCGAAGGCGACACCCUGGACCAGCACUGACACUGAGGCACGAAAGCGUGGGGAGCAAACAGG